AAAAAAAGGAGAUUUUUGCCAUCAUUGAAAAUCUAUGAAGUUUUUUUUUUUUUUAAUUUAUAAAUAUACUUUAUUAAACUGGUUGCCUAUUUUUGAGUAAUUAAAGUGGUUUUUCCCUACUACAAGUAACUACAGUGAAUGUCUUUGGGUGAUAUAUGUAAUUAUUUCUUUAGGACCAGUUCCAAGAAGUGGAAUGGCACAGUUAAAGCACAUAGAUUAUUUUCUUUAAGAGCUAUGAUAAUAUUUCCAAAUACCAGUGUCCACCCCACUAAAAACGUAAUGAGAAUGGUCAUUUCCUCAGUCUGUGAUCAAUACUGGAUAUUUAGCUUUUAAAUAUUUUUGCUUUUUAGAGGUAGAAAAUACAGUUUAUUUGAUUUUUAUUUGUGAUAACAGCUGAGCUUAAGUAAUGACAUAUUACGUACUGUGUUUCUUUCAUGCAAUAUCUGUUUAGUAUUUUGUUCAGUUUUUCCUUUAUUGUCUGUCUUAUCAGUUUGUAGAACAUUGACUGUUUUCACUUUUCUUGCAGAUACCUCAAGUUUGGCAUUCCAUUCAUUUAAAAAAAAAAAACACACCAUUUUUAGAUACCCACUGACAUGGUGAAGUAAAGACAUUGUUAGGAAAAGGGCAUGUAGGAUGUGUAUCAUGAAUCAAAAGAGAACUAUCUUGGAUGAUCUCUUUGUUGUUAAGCCCAGUGAUUGUCUGUGUGAGGGGGU
Sapajus apella (tufted capuchin) is the source of this 713-nucleotide long non-coding RNA. RefSeq lists it as uncharacterized. NCBI's taxonomy places the organism in Eukaryota, Metazoa, Chordata, Mammalia, Primates, Cebidae. The record is from RefSeq and is a predicted model, not a curated record. The transcript has 3 exons.